RNAcentral lists this ribosomal RNA (515 nucleotides) under Bacillus toyonensis. Its description in RNAcentral is "bacterial SSU rRNA". It matches the Rfam family "Bacterial small subunit ribosomal RNA", at positions 1 to 516 of the family's 1533-position model. The record is from RNAcentral. Lineage: Bacteria; Bacillati; Bacillota; Bacilli; Caryophanales; Bacillaceae.
CUCUAGAGUUUGAUCCUGGCCUCAGGAUGAACGCUGGCGGCGUGCCUAAUACAUGCAAGUCGAGCGAAUGGAUUGAGAGCUUGCUCUCAAGAAGUUAGCGGCGGACGGGUGAGUAACACGUGGGUAACCUGCCCAUAAGACUGGGAUAACUCCGGGAAACCGGGGCUAAUACCGGAUAACAUUUUGAACUGCAUGGUUCGAAAUUGAAAGGCGGCUUCGGCUGUCACUUAUGGAUGGACCCGCGUCGCAUUAGCUAGUUGGUGAGGUAACGGCUCACCAAGGCAACGAUGCGUAGCCGACCUGAGAGGGUGAUCGGCCACACUGGGACUGAGACACGGCCCAGACUCCUACGGGAGGCAGCAGUAGGGAAUCUUCCGCAAUGGACGAAAGUCUGACGGAGCAACGCCGCGUGAGUGAUGAAGGCUUUCGGGUCGUAAAACUCUGUUGUUAGGGAAGAACAAGUGCUAGUUGAAUAAGCUGGCACCUGACGUACCUACCCAGACAGGCCAGCAGUU